GGGGUUGGGUAUAGCUCAGUGGUAGAGCGCAUGCUUCGCAUGCACGAGGUCCUGGGUUCAAUCCCCAGUACCUCCA
RNAcentral lists this transfer RNA (76 nucleotides) under Vicugna pacos (alpaca). RNAcentral's name for it is "tRNA-Ala (CGC) (tRNA-Ala-CGC-14-1)". It matches the Rfam family "tRNA". Rfam says of the family: Transfer RNA (tRNA) molecules are approximately 80 nucleotides in length. Their secondary structure includes four short double-helical elements and three loops (D, anti-codon, and T loops). Further hydrogen bonds mediate the characteristic L-shaped molecular structure. tRNAs have two regions of fundamental functional importance: the anti-codon, which is responsible for specific mRNA codon recognition, and the 3' end, to which the tRNAs corresponding amino acid is attached (by aminoacyl-tRNA synthetases). tRNAs cope with the degeneracy of the genetic code in two manners: having more than one tRNA (with a specific anti-codon) for a particular amino acid; and 'wobble' base-pairing, i.e. permitting non-standard base-pairing at the 3rd anti-codon position. The record is from RNAcentral. Lineage: Eukaryota; Metazoa; Chordata; Mammalia; Artiodactyla; Camelidae.